This 334-nucleotide unclassified non-coding RNA is filed under the name soil metagenome. RNAcentral describes it as "partial contains 5.8S ribosomal RNA, internal transcribed spacer 2, and large subunit ribosomal RNA". The stretch from base 1 to 120 matches the Rfam family "5.8S ribosomal RNA", at positions 35 to 154 of the family's 154-position model. The record is from RNAcentral.
GAUGAAGAACGUAGCGAAAUGCGAUAAGUAGUGUGAAUUGCAGAAUUCAGUGAAUCAUCGAAUCUUUGAACGCACAUUGCGCCCUUUGGUAUUCCUUAGGGCAUGCCUGUUCGAGCGUCAUUUAAACCUUCAAGCUCAGCUUGGUGUUGGGUGACUGUCCGCUUCACCGCGGACUCGCCUCAAAAUUAUUGGCGGCCGGUACAUUGGCUCUCGAGCGCAGCAGAAACGCGUAACUCGAGGUCCUCGUGCUGGCUCCCAGAAGCUAUCUUCACAAUUUUGACCUCGGAUCAGGUAGGGAUACCCGCUGAACUUAAGCAUAUCAAUAAGCGGAGGA